CUCUCUCUCUCUCUCUCUCUCUCUCUCUCCUGAUGCUAUGCAGUGCCCUGCUGAGAACCAUUACAGCUUAUAGCCCUGAGGGUGCAGGCCGUCGCGUCAGCAGCAGACACAAUUCAGACCUCAAUUAUCUUCAGAUCCAUCUUUGUCGCUGACAAUUUUAUGUGCACAUCGGUAAUUGUGAAGAAAUUAAUGCAAUGGAGAGCUUGGGGAAAGGACGGGCAGUGCAGAUCAUUUUGAAUUCACCUGCACCUGCAAUAAUUCUCAUUCUACGGAGAAAGUACAGUGGUCCAUGUGGGUUUCCUCAGAGUUCUCUGGUUUCCUGCAACCACUGAAAAACAUCCAUAGAGGUGGACUGGCUACUAUUUU
Ictalurus punctatus (channel catfish) is the source of this 366-nucleotide long non-coding RNA. The record is from Ensembl. NCBI's taxonomy places the organism in Eukaryota, Metazoa, Chordata, Actinopteri, Siluriformes, Ictaluridae.